Molecule: non-coding RNA, 21 nt
Filed under: Caenorhabditis elegans
Lineage: Eukaryota; Metazoa; Nematoda; Chromadorea; Rhabditida; Rhabditidae
Source: RNAcentral
UACCUUGACAAGAGCCAUGAC